AGCGAACGCUGGCGGCAGGCUUAACACAUGCAAGUCGAGCGGACCUUUCGGGGUCAGCGGCGGACGGGUGAGUAACGCGUGGGAACGUGCCUUCCGGUUCGGAAUAACCCUGGGAAACUAGGGCUAAUACCGGAUACGCCCUUAUGGGGAAAGGUUUACUGCCGAAAGAUCGGCCCGCGUCUGAUUAGCUAGUUGGUGGGGUAACGGCCUACCAAGGCGACGAUCAGUAGCUGGUCUGAGAGGAUGAUCAGCCACACUGGGACUGAGACACGGCCCAGACUCCUACGGGAGGCAGCAGUGGGGAAUAUUGGACAAUGGGCGCAAGCCUGAUCCAGCCAUGCCGCGUGAGUGAUGAAGGCCUUAGGGUUGUAAAGCUCUUUUAUCCGGGACGAUAAUGACGGUACCGGAGGAAUAAGCCCCGGCUAACUUCGUG
Molecule: ribosomal RNA, 433 nt
Filed under: uncultured bacterium
Lineage: Bacteria
Description: partial 16S ribosomal RNA
Rfam family: Bacterial small subunit ribosomal RNA
Source: RNAcentral